AUCACACACCGUCGCUGUCAGAUGUCAUAAUGCUACGAACUUUGACUUGUUAACAAGCUAGCAAAUACGAAGAUACACAAAGGGAACAUGAGGACUCUGUUGAUAAUUGGUCUAACUUUGAUAGUAAUGGCGAACAAAGCAGCAGAAGCUGGCACGGGAAAACGUCUUGAUCCGAAGGAGCCACCAGCCGGAUCUAAUUCGUCUGUUUCAUCCCAAGAAAACUCUUCUGUGACCUACACUAGUGGACCGCUGCUAGUGACAGUUCUAGGCCUUGUGCCUUACAUGUUGGUGUUCGGAGAACGCCUUUUGUAACCUGGCUGUGACCACAUCUGGCAUUCUGAAAGCAGUCCCGCAAUUAUAUCAAUUCUGCGUUACAUCAACAAAUAUCAGUGAUGAAUUGGUUCAGGGUUCGACCCCUAACAUUUUGUUGUACAUGAACAAAUAUGCCGAAUAUUCCAUGAAUAGUUCAAAGCAAUGACAAGAGAUAUGUUUUUAACUUGACUACGUACUUCAUGGAAUAUACGAAUUCAGAAGAUGUUUUCAAUAAACGCAAUGAUCAUAUCAAACAUUAAAUAUACACCAGCACUUAUUUCAAUAUUAGUUGUAUUCCUACUUUUAAUUUUUGUUUUCUCUAUACAAUUUACAUUGUACGAAGUUUUCCAUUGGAUAAUUAGAUGUAAAUACAAGCAUUAAAUUUAGUUCAACAAUAUGAUGAAUGCUAAAGUCAUUGCAAUGGAACUUUGAUGUGACUGCACAAUUAAAUGAAUUCAUGUGUUUAACACGGGGCAAUAAAACGUUGAACUUAA
Long non-coding RNA from Pecten maximus, 806 nucleotides. RefSeq lists it as uncharacterized. The record is from RefSeq and is a predicted model, not a curated record. NCBI's taxonomy places the organism in Eukaryota, Metazoa, Mollusca, Bivalvia, Pectinida, Pectinidae. The transcript is spliced from 3 exons.